This 62-nucleotide transfer RNA is filed under the name Cavia porcellus (domestic guinea pig). It matches the Rfam family "tRNA". From Rfam's summary of the family: Transfer RNA (tRNA) molecules are approximately 80 nucleotides in length. Their secondary structure includes four short double-helical elements and three loops (D, anti-codon, and T loops). Lineage: Eukaryota; Metazoa; Chordata; Mammalia; Rodentia; Caviidae. The record is from Rfam by way of RNAcentral.
GGGGAUUUAGCUCAGCAGCACAAGCACCUGCCUGGCAAGCAGGGUCAUGAGUUCAAUCCCCG